GUCCUUUAGGUAAUUAUAAUUUAAGGUCUAACCUGCCCAUUGAUAAGUUAAAAGGCCGCAGUAAUUUGACUGUGCAAAGGUAGCAUAAUCAUUAGUUUUUUAAUUAAAAGCUUGUAUGAAUGGUUGGACGAGAUAAAAUCUGUCUCUUUAUAAAAAAUAGAAUUUAAUUUUUAAGUUAAAAAGCUUAAAUUUAUAUAAAAGACGAGAAGACCCUAUAGAUCUUUAUAUAAUUUUUUUUAAUAUUAAUAAAGAAAAUUUAAUUUUUUAUAAAAAAUUAUAUUUUAUUGGGGUAAUAAAAAGAUUAAUAUAAUUCUUUUUUUUUAUACAAUAAUUAUUGAUUUUAUGAUCCAUUAUUAAUGAUUAUAUGAUUAAGUUACCUUAGGGAUAACAGCGUAAUUUUUUUAAAGAGUUCUUAUCAAUAAAAAAGUUUGCGACCUCGAUGUUGGAUUAAAAGUAAUUCUAGGUGCAGAAGUUUAGAGUUUUGGUCUGUUCGACCAUUAAAUUUUU
RNAcentral lists this ribosomal RNA (507 nucleotides) under Hydroporus nigellus. RNAcentral's name for it is "partial 16S ribosomal RNA". It matches the Rfam family "Bacterial large subunit ribosomal RNA", at positions 1825 to 2597 of the family's 2925-position model. The record is from RNAcentral. Lineage: Eukaryota; Metazoa; Arthropoda; Insecta; Coleoptera; Dytiscidae.